Molecule: long non-coding RNA, 428 nt
Organism: Xyrauchen texanus (razorback sucker)
Lineage: Eukaryota; Metazoa; Chordata; Actinopteri; Cypriniformes; Catostomidae
Exons: 3
Source: RefSeq, a predicted model, not a curated record
CUUGUCACCGCUGCCAGUUGAAUGACCCCAUCAAGACUGUUGUGUCUUGCAUUCCAUUAAGGUAAAAUAAUCUUGGGAAGAGCUUGGUUUGGAUUUGAUUGGACCACUGCCAGAAACAGCACGCAACAACAAGUAUGUCCUUACCAUGACAGACCUGUACACCAAAUGGGUGAUUGCAGAACCAAUGCAAUCUAAGAUAGCAGCUGAGGUGUCUGCAAUAAUAACCACAAAGUUGUACUUGUUCGGCAUGGUUAGGAAAAUCAUUACAGACCAAGGGAAGGAGUUUGUCAACAAGGUUCUUCGCAACAUAGAGAGCACUCAGAGCAUACAACAAAAGUCAUUCCAAAAUCGCAAGCACAAGUAUGUCCGAGUAUGUUCUGUUCAGGCCAGUGAUGUUCUGCUCUCACGGGACCCCAAGAAACGACGGA